CGCCCGCUCAGAAACUUAAAGGAAUUUGACGGGGGGCCCGCACAAGCAGCGGAGCAUGUGGUUUAAUUCGAAGCAACGCGAAGAACCUUACCAAGACUUGACAUCCCCUGACAGCUGUUGAAAGGCAGUGUCUCUUCGGAGCAGGGAGACAGGUGGUGCAUGGUUGUCGUCAGCUCGUGUCGUGAGAUGUUGGGUUAAGUCCCGCAACGAGCGCAACCCUUAUCCUUAGUUACCAGCACGUAAAGGUGGGGACUCUAGGGAGACCGCCGGGGACGACUCGGAGGAAGGUGGGGACGACGUCAAAUCAUCAUGCCCCUUAUGUCUUGGGCUACACACGUGCUACAAUGGCCGCAACAGAGGGAAGCGAGAGCGCAAGCUGGAGCAAAACCCUAAAAAGCGGUCCCAGUUCGGAUUGUGGGCUGCAACCCGCCCACAUGAAGUCGGAGUUGCUAGUAAUCGCGAAUCAGCAUGUCGCGGUGAAUGCGUUCCCGGGCCUU
RNAcentral lists this ribosomal RNA (497 nucleotides) under uncultured Lachnospiraceae bacterium. RNAcentral's name for it is "bacterial SSU rRNA". It matches the Rfam family "Bacterial small subunit ribosomal RNA", at positions 887 to 1382 of the family's 1533-position model. The record is from RNAcentral. Lineage: Bacteria; Bacillati; Bacillota; Clostridia; Lachnospirales; Lachnospiraceae.